This 433-nucleotide ribosomal RNA is filed under the name uncultured bacterium. RNAcentral's name for it is "partial 16S ribosomal RNA". It matches the Rfam family "Bacterial small subunit ribosomal RNA", at positions 29 to 507 of the family's 1533-position model. The record is from RNAcentral.
AACGAACGCUGGCGGCAUGCCUAACACAUGCAAGUCGAACGAGACCUUCGGGUCUAGUGGCGCACGGGUGCGUAACGCGUGGGAACCUGCCCUUAGGUUCGGAAUAACUCCCCGAAAGGGGUGCUAAUACCGGAUAAUGUCUUCGGACCAAAGAUUUAUCGCCUGUGGAUGGGCCCGCGUUGGAUUAGCUAGUUGGUAGGGUAAAAGCCUACCAAGGCGCCGAUACAUAGCUGGUCUGAGAGGAUGAUCAGACACACUGGGACUGAGACACGGCCCAGACUCCUACGGGAGGGAGGAGUGGGGAAUAUUGGACAGUGGGCGAAAGCCUGAUCCAGCAAUGCCGCGUGAGUGAUGAAGGCCUUAGGGUUGUAAAGCUCUUUUACCCGGGAUGAUAAUGACAGUACCGGGAGAAUAAGCUCCGGCUAACUCCGUG